RNAcentral lists this ribosomal RNA (440 nucleotides) under uncultured bacterium. Its description in RNAcentral is "partial 16S ribosomal RNA". It matches the Rfam family "Bacterial small subunit ribosomal RNA", at positions 338 to 795 of the family's 1533-position model. The record is from RNAcentral.
CCUACGUGAGGCAGCAGUGGGGAAUAUUGCACAAUGGGGGAAACCCUGAUGCAGCGACGCCGCGUGAGUGAAGAAGUAAUUCGUUAUGUAAAGCUCUAUCAGCAGGGAAGAAAAUGACGGUACCUGAGUAAGACGCCCUGGCUAACUACGUUCCAGCAGCCGCGGUAAUACGUAGGGGGCAAGCGUUAUCCGGAUUUACUGGGUGUAAAGGGAGCGUAGACGGCAGUGCAAGUCUGGAGUGAAAGGCGGGGGCUCAACCCCCGGACUGCUCUGGAAACUGUACGGCUGGAGUGCAGGAGAGGUAAGUGGAAUUCCUAGUGUAGCGGUGAAAUGCGUAGAUAUUAGGAGGAACACCAGUGGCGAAGGCGGCUUACUGGACUGUAACUGACGUUGAGGCUCGAAAGCGUGGGGAGCAAACAGGAUUAGAUACCCGAGUAGUC